CUAAUAUGGCAGAUUAGUGCAAUGGAUUUAAGCUCCAUAAAUAAAGUUUUACUUUUUUUAGAAA
Molecule: transfer RNA, 64 nt
Filed under: Elateridae sp. 1 ACP-2013
Lineage: Eukaryota; Metazoa; Arthropoda; Insecta; Coleoptera; Elateridae
Description: tRNA-Leu
Source: RNAcentral